UUUUUUUUUUUUUCUUUCUAGGCAACUCUACAGACUUCAGAUCUUUUGCCUUGCAAUGCAGAUCAUCUUAUUCCCCCAAAGGUAGCCAGGUUCUUUAAACAUGCACAUCUCUGUAGCUUCCAGGCCGUGUAUUUUACUUAUUUUUGUUUAAAUUCUGCGGACUAGCAGGUUGUCCCCAUUCCUAAAAACUCUACAUCAGUGUUCCGGGUGGCCUGAGUGCUGGUCAGGCUCCUUGAGGGUUUACAGGAUAACACAGAAGAACUUCUUCUCUCUAAAGGGGUUUUCUGAGGCCGGGACAGGGGUCAAUAGAGGGUCCUCCUUGGCGUGGGCUUCACAGUACGCCAUCAGGUCUGCUAGACAAACUCUCAUACCUUUAUCCUGUCGAUGUUUGCCUCCAUCUUAAGCUGCUCCACCAGCUUGCGGGCUUGUGCUAUGCUAGCAGUGUUGUUGCUAGCCAUGGGCAGGCCAGGCACACUCUCCAGACAGGCUAUCUCUCCGGUGAUGUGUGCCUCUAGGGGAAGAUCUGCUCCUCUUGGCCGUUCACUACCUGGAGGCGGCGGUGCUGCCCCGCGGGGCGGGCGGCGACGGGACGGAGGGAUGGAUGGAUGGAGAGCUGAAGGGAGGGAGGGAUGGAGGGCCGGAGGCAGGAGGAGGGUGGUCAGCAGCAGCCCCGAGCAGCGAGUCCCCACCCAGCUUUGUCUGCGCUCAUCCCUCU
This 715-nucleotide long non-coding RNA is filed under the name Strigops habroptila (Kakapo). RNAcentral's name for it is "lncRNA (ENSSHBG00005004813.1)". Lineage: Eukaryota; Metazoa; Chordata; Aves; Psittaciformes; Psittacidae. The record is from RNAcentral.